This 1152-nucleotide ribosomal RNA is filed under the name Serratia nematodiphila. RNAcentral's name for it is "bacterial SSU rRNA". It matches the Rfam family "Bacterial small subunit ribosomal RNA", at positions 37 to 1156 of the family's 1533-position model. The record is from RNAcentral. Lineage: Bacteria; Pseudomonadati; Pseudomonadota; Gammaproteobacteria; Enterobacterales; Yersiniaceae.
GGGCGGGGGCCGCAGCUACCAUGCAGUCGAGCGGUAGCACAGGGGAGCUUGCUCCCCGGGUGACGAGCGGCGGACGGGUGAGUAAUGUCUGGGAAACUGCCUGAUGGAGGGGGAUAACUACUGGAAACGGUAGCUAAUACCGCAUAACGUCGCAAGACCAAAGAGGGGGACCUUCGGGCCUCUUGCCAUCAGAUGUGCCCAGAUGGGAUUAGCUAGUAGGUGGGGUAAUGGCUCACCUAGGCGACGAUCCCUAGCUGGUCUGAGAGGAUGACCAGCCACACUGGAACUGAGACACGGUCCAGACUCCUACGGGAGGCAGCAGUGGGGAAUAUUGCACAAUGGGCGCAAGCCUGAUGCAGCCAUGCCGCGUGUGUGAAGAAGGCCUUCGGGUUGUAAAGCACUUUCAGCGAGGAGGAAGGUGGUGAGCUUAAUACGCUCAUCAAUUGACGUUACUCGCAGAAGAAGCACCGGCUAACUCCGUGCCAGCAGCCGCGGUAAUACGGAGGGUGCAAGCGUUAAUCGGAAUUACUGGGCGUAAAGCGCACGCAGGCGGUUUGUUAAGUCAGAUGUGAAAUCCCCGGGCUCAACCUGGGAACUGCAUUUGAAACUGGCAAGCUAGAGUCUCGUAGAGGGGGGUAGAAUUCCAGGUGUAGCGGUGAAAUGCGUAGAGAUCUGGAGGAAUACCGGUGGCGAAGGCGGCCCCCUGGACGAAGACUGACGCUCAGGUGCGAAAGCGUGGGGAGCAAACAGGAUUAGAUACCCUGGUAGUCCACGCUGUAAACGAUGUCGAUUUGGAGGUUGUGCCCUUGAGGCGUGGCUUCCGGAGCUAACGCGUUAAAUCGACCGCCUGGGGAGUACGGCCGCAAGGUUAAAACUCAAAUGAAUUGACGGGGGCCCGCACAAGCGGUGGAGCAUGUGGGUUUAAUUCGAUGCAACGCGAAGAACCUUACCUACUUCUUGACAUCCAGGAGGAACUUACCAGAGAUGCUUUGGUUGCCCUUCGGGGAACUUCUUGAAGAACAGGUUGCUGCAUGGCUGUCGUCAAGCUCCGUGUUGGUGAAAUGUUGGGGUAAGUUCCCAGCCAACGAGCCGCAAUCCCUUAUUCGUUGUUGCAGCGGAAUCGGGCCGGGGACUUCAAAGGAGACUUGCCAG